This 173-nucleotide ribosomal RNA is filed under the name Aphanoascus pinarensis. RNAcentral describes it as "5.8S ribosomal RNA". The stretch from base 1 to 154 matches the Rfam family "5.8S ribosomal RNA". From Rfam's summary of the family: 5.8S ribosomal RNA (5.8S rRNA) is a component of the large subunit of the eukaryotic ribosome. It is transcribed by RNA polymerase I as part of the 45S precursor that also contains 18S and 28S rRNA. Functionally, it is thought that 5.8S rRNA may be involved in ribosome translocation. Lineage: Eukaryota; Fungi; Ascomycota; Eurotiomycetes; Onygenales; Onygenaceae. The record is from RNAcentral.
AACUUUCAACAACGGAUCUCUUGGUUCCGGCAUCGAUGAAGAACGCAGCGAAAUGCGAUAAGUAAUGUGAAUUGCAGAAUUCCGUGAAUCAUCGAAUCUUUGAACGCACAUUGCGCCCUCUGGUAUUCCGGGGGGCAUGCCUGUUCGAGCGUCAUUGCAACCCCUCAAGCACG